Myodes glareolus (Bank vole) is the source of this 785-nucleotide non-coding RNA. Lineage: Eukaryota; Metazoa; Chordata; Mammalia; Rodentia; Cricetidae. The record is from RefSeq and is a predicted model, not a curated record.
CAGCCCUCCAACUGCACGUGGCUGUGUUUGCAGCCUCUCUCCCACCCCUCCCCAAAGCCACACAGCUGCGGGAAGCAGUGUGGGAGGAAACAGAAGGGGUCACACCCCCCUGUCUCCUGCAAAGUUACACCUGUGUCUCAUGGACCCUGCCACCUGUUGCCCAGCUGAAGUUCCUGACCACAAGGAAUCUGUGUAUUGUUUUUCCUCUUUGGCAAACAAGAAAGUAAUAGCUCAAAGAAUAUUAGUAAUAAUGGCCCGACCUGGAGAUGGUAACCUGGAGAUGCCAAGACAUCUGCUGGAGCCCUUUACACAACAGGUAACCCUUUCAAAGCAUGGGCAAGAAGAAGGCGUCCAGCAUCCUCUGUAGCUCUCUCAAGUCUAGCCAUGCAUCUUCAGCUUCAGACUCCAAGCUGCCUGUGUGCUGUCCAGCGGGCUCCCCUGACCAUGGGCCUCUGUCCCACACCCUUUUCUGAGUGGUCAGGUAUCCUCAGGGACAAUCCCUAAGAUGGGUGUCCGCCUGGCUCUUUGCCACUCUGACUCUAGUUUCAUUUGGUGUGUGUUUCGGGCUCCCCUGAGGACCCAGAGAACAUGUGUAUGAGGUGGAAGUGGGGUUUCUGGAGGCACUUCUUGUUGGGUGUACCCAGUUUCCACAGAAAGCCGGGGAGCCUCUCCUGGUUGUCAGCCGGAAGAGGAGAAGGUGAAACUGAGGGGAAAGAAUGGACUAUUUUCGGGCUGGUGCCUGGAGUGUGGGUGUGAAGGAGGACAGAGGUUUGCCUGCAGAGAAU